Molecule: long non-coding RNA, 2899 nt
Organism: Hylaeus anthracinus
Lineage: Eukaryota; Metazoa; Arthropoda; Insecta; Hymenoptera; Colletidae
Exons: 3
Source: RefSeq, a predicted model, not a curated record
UAUAACGUAAGAACGUUAAAUACGACGCGAAGGUAAUAAUACUCAAUUAUCCUCGAGAAGUUUAAGGAGGACUGCGCAUGUACUUCCAUCGGUGAUAAAAACGAGUUGCCGAACGAUGCACAAGAAUUCCAGCGCUCAAGGUUACGUAAUGAACGGUGCUUCUCUUCGGGGUCUCCUUCCAGGGACAAUAAAAUUCCGCGCGAGCAAUUAGCACUGGCAACCGGUGAUUACGUCGAGAAAUACACAGGGUGGGUCGUAACACGUGGCCGAACGGAGACGUCAAAAUAGGAAAGAAAGUUCACUGGCAUGUAUAAGAGCACGGGUACUGUGACCAGUAUCAAGAUCAUGGACAGCGAAUAUAUUAAUCUUGAAUCGAGCUUGUAUGAAUGAUUCUACUGAACUGUUUGUAUAAGAUGCAUCGUAACUAUUCGAUGCAAUGUUGGAGAUGCUAUGAUGUUUACGAUUCUUUAAUAAAAACUCGAAUAUAAUCUCUAAAGAAAACCUAAAUAAUAUAAUAAUGAAAAUUACAGAGGACCUGGGAGAAAAAACGGAUCGAGUCAAAUGGUAGUUGUUUUCAGAUUGUUUUAAUUGGGAUAGGAUCAAAUGGGACACGUAAUUACAAGAACUUUCUCCAUUAGUUUUACGUCGUCCGAUCUAUACCCGGGUCCCACGUGUAACGAUACACUCGGCGGAUCGGAUCGACGUGGAUAAUUUUCGAACUUCCUUGUCCGAGCUAAUUCGAAGCCGAGCGUUGCACGUGGAACUCCUCGGUCGUAACACGAAACUAUAAAUUACCGGAAGAACAAGCCGAGGAACGCCGAACCCAGCGCAUCCAGCUGGCAUUCGUGCCGUUCCACUGGACACUCGUCAGCCCUAUCGCUAAUGAAAGGCUGCUCCGAAGGACUCGCGGGGGCAUAAAGGGCGCGCGUGAGCGGACACUACACGAAAAGUCAAACGAGAGAUCAAAACGUUGUUGCAACGGAAGAUUUAUCACGCGAUCCAUGGAUUCCUCAACGAUUUCGGUUGACGAAGACAGAGAAUAAUAUAUGGCGUGACCAAGAAGACCUACUAAAAAAUUUGCAAGCCUAGUACUUCUCGCUUUGAAAGUGCGAAAUAGAUUCUAGCAAUCAUGGGUGUACAAAUAUUUUAUUUGUUCUGUUUGCUUGUUUUCGGAGAAGAAACAAGAGUGCCCUUGGAUACCGCAAUGAAACUGGCUUGACAGUUAAGAUUCUGCACGGUUUCAUAGUUAAUGUUCGAAAUGGCCUCCACUGGAGGUAGCAUGCAAGUUGAUACGCCUAUCAUGGUCUAUCGCAUGUGCACGACACUUCCGGCUGCCUCCGACGGAAUUGCAUACAUUGAUUGCGUUACCUGUUAUUUAUAAUUCACGUGGGAAGGUCAGAUAAAAAUGUUAUUACGGUUUCUUGGCAUUCGUGUGUAACGGGUCCUUCGAAAUUGCUUAGUGAUAGUAAAAGGUAUUCUGAAAAACGUGUAAAAAAAUUAAAAUUCAAUUUGUCACUGCCUCGCGUCUUUGAUUAUUAUCUGCAAAUAUUAAUCCAUUAGGUUACACGACAUUUACAUUCAAUUUCUCCCUUCUUUAAUUUCUACCGCGACGUAAUAAAACGAAUAGUAAGAUAAUUGCAUUUAAACUAGGUAUAAGUAAAUUAUAAUUAAAGUCGAAACGGGGUCACUCGAGAGCCCAGAAAUUCUCCUGAGCUCACAGUGGAUGUGUCUCCGAAACAAAAGGUUUUUAGGCCAAUGCUUUUCAGCGUUCUCUCGCUUGUUUUCAGAUGUGGAGAAUGACAAUUUACCAGGCAGGAUUUUCGAACCACCCUGUACGGAGAUAAAUAUUUCCAUUCCCACAGAAUAAACGUCGCUGGCCCGGUGUAUAUUUUAAUCCAGCGCGGUUUAAUCCGGAUAACGUUUCAGCAUGAAUCAAACGAGCGUCGCGAACGAAAUGCGCGAACAAUGCUCCAGACAACGAUGGAAAGAGUGCAUCUUUCCAGCCCUCUCACGCUCAGUCGCUUCUCGCAGAGAUGGGAAAAAUUUUUCUUCCUUAGAAAAAAUCUGGAACGAGUGAAAGGUAAACAGCUCUUGCUACGUUAGCUGUUCAAUAAAAAUUACUAUCUGAAUUAUAUAAUCGUGUCACGUUUUUGAAACCUUAUCCAAGGAACUGUUUACCUUAGUUUUAUUCGAUUAUUUUACGUUUUUAUUGCACCGUAUCUAAACAGUAUACAAAAAAUGCAAAAAAAAAAAACACACGGAAUUACUACUACUCUUUUAGAUUAAAAUUAAACUCAAUUUCGUUAUUAAAAUUUAAUACUACAAUUUGAUAAGCCUCAACCGUACCUCAUUAGACUGGACUUGCUUAAUCCAUUCACCUAAUAAAUAAAUAAAUAAAAUAUAUAAUACAAUAACAAGUUCUAACAACAACUGCCUUACAGCCCAACAUUAAAUUCCUUUCUGCCAUUCUUAAUCGCAUAAACAUAACGAAUAAAGUUCUGAGUAGAGUUUUUAUUCGUCCUUUAUUAUCCGAAUAAAGUUUUACCUCUGUCUGGCGUCUCUAUUCACGUUUCCACGACGCUGCAAAAGGAAGAAUAAAAAACAUGCGACCGAAACAAUCGUAUCCAGUCCAUGGAAACCGUUUCCACGGCCGUUUCCUCGUGAGAAAAUCGGCGAACCGGCCAAUAAGGCAUCCUUAUACGCCAAUUAUGGUUCAUAACCCGACGAAUCAGCGGUCCUCGUCCCUCGAACGGGGCUGCGUGUCCCGAGUAGUUGCAGCCGAUGUUGCAACCAGCAAAUAAAGUUAUCCAAGGAUGAUGAAAUCGGUCUUUAGGCUUCCGCCCAGGCAACUGGAAUUAAUGAUGAAGUCGAUGAUCGAUCAUGAUUGCGGGAUCGAAAC